RNAcentral lists this ribosomal RNA (460 nucleotides) under uncultured bacterium. RNAcentral's name for it is "partial 16S ribosomal RNA". It matches the Rfam family "Bacterial small subunit ribosomal RNA", at positions 338 to 795 of the family's 1533-position model. The record is from RNAcentral.
CCUACGGGUGACAGCAGUGAGGAAUAUUGGUCAAUGGACGAGAGCCUGAACCAGCCAAGUAGCGUGAAGGAUGAAGGCCCUAUGGGUUGUAAACUUCUUUUAUAUGGGAAUAAAGUGCGGCACGUGUUCCUUUUUGUAUGUACCAUAUGAAUAAGCAUCGGCUAACUCCGUGCCAGCAGCCGCGGUAAUACGGAGGAUGCGAGCGUUAUCCGGAUUUAUUGGGUUUAAAGGGUGCGUAGGUGGUUGAUUAAGUCAGCUGUGAAAGUUUGUGGCUCAACCAUAAAAUUGCCGUUGAAACUGGUUGACUUGAGUACAUUUGAGGUAGGCGGAAUGCGUGGUGUAGCGGUGAAAUGCAUAGAUAUCACGCAGAACUCCGAUUGCGAAGGCAGCUUACUAAACUAUAACUGACACUGAAGCACGAAAGUGUGGGGAUCAAACAGGAUUAGAUACCCUUGUAGUC